AGAUAUGUUUGAUAUUCUUGGUUGUGGCUUUCCAACUCAACCAGAUAUCAGACAUAUUAUUA
RNAcentral lists this microRNA precursor (62 nucleotides) under Triops cancriformis. RNAcentral's name for it is "microRNA tcf-mir-190 precursor". Its record names the gene tcf-mir-190. It matches the Rfam family "mir-190 microRNA precursor family", at positions 10 to 69 of the family's 78-position model. Lineage: Eukaryota; Metazoa; Arthropoda; Branchiopoda; Notostraca; Triopsidae. The record is from miRBase by way of RNAcentral.